CCGAGUGAGGGCCUCCGGGCCCGACCUCCCACCCUUUGAUUUAACCCACUUUUGUUGCCUCGGGGGCGACCCGGUCGCGUCGGGGCCCCCGACGGACCCCCUUCUCACGCUGCAUCUUUGCGUCGGGUUGAUCAGAAAAUCAAUCA
This 146-nucleotide unclassified non-coding RNA is filed under the name uncultured fungus. RNAcentral's name for it is "sequence contains ITS1, 5.8S rRNA gene". Lineage: Eukaryota; Fungi. The record is from RNAcentral.